GCAGCAGGUCGCCUUAUCGCUCUGUUCAAUCAGGGAGGAAAGUCCGGACACCAUAGAGCAGCUUAGUGGGUAACGCCCACCGGUCGAAAGAUCAGGACCAGUGCAACAGAAAGAAUGUACAGGUAAUGCUGUAGUGAAACCAGGUAAACUCUAGGCGGUGCAAUGCCAUGUAUACCGGUUGAGUCGGGUUGCUCGCCCGCAUACCGGAGGGUAGGCAGCUAAAGACAUGCAGUAAUGUAUGUCUCAGAUAAAUGAUAAGGAUUUUUGAAAUUUUCAGAAAUACAGAAUCCGGCUUACAGACCUGCUUUUUUU
The sequence is a non-coding RNA, 312 nucleotides long. It matches the Rfam family "Bacterial RNase P class A". From Rfam's summary of the family: Ribonuclease P (RNase P) is a ubiquitous endoribonuclease, found in archaea, bacteria and eukarya as well as chloroplasts and mitochondria. Its best characterised activity is the generation of mature 5'-ends of tRNAs by cleaving the 5'-leader elements of precursor-tRNAs. Cellular RNase Ps are ribonucleoproteins. The record is from Rfam.